UUAAAAUUAGUUAAACUACAUAACAUAAGCCUGUCACGCUUAAAUUAUCCUAUGGAUAUUUUAAC
Molecule: transfer RNA, 65 nt
Filed under: Synalpheus microneptunus
Lineage: Eukaryota; Metazoa; Arthropoda; Malacostraca; Decapoda; Alpheidae
Description: tRNA-Asp
Source: RNAcentral